CCUACGGGAGGCAGCAGUGGGGAAUCUUGCGCAAUGGGCGAAAGCCUGACGCAGCAACGCCGCGUGCGGGAUGACGGCCUUCGGGUUGUAAACCGCUUUCAGCAGGGACGCGGUACCUGCAGAAGAAGCCCCGGCCAACUACGUGCCAGCAGCCGCGGUAACACGUAGGGGGCGAGCGUUGUCCGGAUUUAUUGGGCGUAAAGAGCUCGUAGGCGGCUCGGUAAGUCGGGUGUGAAACCUCCAGGCUCAACCUGGAGACGCCACCUGAUACUGCUGGGCUAGAGUCCGGUAGGGGAGUGUGGAACUCCUGGUGUAGCGGUGAAAUGCGCAGAUAUCAGGAAGAACACCAGCGGCGAAGGCGGCACUCUGGGCCGGACUGACGCUGAGGAGCGAAAGCGUGGGUAGCAAACAGGAUUAGAUACCCUUGUAGUC
Molecule: ribosomal RNA, 432 nt
Filed under: uncultured bacterium
Lineage: Bacteria
Description: partial 16S ribosomal RNA
Rfam family: Bacterial small subunit ribosomal RNA
Source: RNAcentral